RNAcentral lists this ribosomal RNA (465 nucleotides) under uncultured bacterium. Its description in RNAcentral is "partial 16S ribosomal RNA". It matches the Rfam family "Bacterial small subunit ribosomal RNA", at positions 338 to 795 of the family's 1533-position model. The record is from RNAcentral.
CCUACGGGUGGCAGCAGUGGGGAAUAUUUCGCAAUGGGCGAAAGCCUGACGCAGCGACGCCGCGUGAGGGAUGAAGGUCUUCGGAUCGUAAACCUCUGUCAGCAGGGAAGAACGGUCACUGUGCUAAUCAGCAGUGAAUUGACGGUACCUGCAAAGGAAGCACCGGCUAACUCCGUGCCAGCAGCCGCGGUAAUACGGAGGGUGCGAGCGUUAAUCGGAAUUACUGGGCGUAAAGAGCUCGUAGGCGGUAUGUCAAGUCAAGGGUGAAAUCCCCGCGCUCAACGUGGGAACUGCCUUUGAUACUGGCAGACUGGAGUGUGUGAGAGGAUAGUGGAAUUCCAGGUGUAGGAGUGAAAUCCGUAGAUAUCUGGAGGAACAUCAGUGGCGAAGGCGACUAUCUGGCACAUAACUGACGCUGAGGAGCGAAAGCGUGGGUAGCAAACAGGAUUAGAUACCCCAGUAGUC